RNAcentral lists this transfer RNA (58 nucleotides) under Perkinsus olseni. It matches the Rfam family "tRNA", at positions 15 to 71 of the family's 71-position model. Rfam says of the family: Transfer RNA (tRNA) molecules are approximately 80 nucleotides in length. Their secondary structure includes four short double-helical elements and three loops (D, anti-codon, and T loops). The record is from Rfam by way of RNAcentral. Lineage: Eukaryota; Perkinsozoa; Perkinsida; Perkinsidae. RNAcentral also lists the same sequence under 1 other name.
GUGGUAGAGCGUCUGCUUCGUAAGCAGAAGGUCGUCAGUUCAAUCCUGGCAAGUGGCU